This 248-nucleotide ribosomal RNA is filed under the name uncultured Peptococcaceae bacterium. RNAcentral's name for it is "partial 16S ribosomal RNA". It matches the Rfam family "Bacterial small subunit ribosomal RNA", at positions 524 to 771 of the family's 1533-position model. The record is from RNAcentral. Lineage: Bacteria; Bacillati; Bacillota; Clostridia; Eubacteriales; Peptococcaceae.
UACGUAGGGGGCGAGCGUUGUCCGGAAUCACUGGGCGUAAAGGGCGCGUAGGCGGUUUAAUAAGUCAGUGGUGAAAACUGAGGGCUCAACCCUCAGCCUGCCACUGAUACUGUUAGACUUGAGUAUGGAAGAGGAGAAUGGAAUUCCUAGUGUAGCGGUGAAAUGCGUAGAUAUUAGGAGGAACACCAGUGGCGAAGGCGAUUCUCUGGGCCAAGACUGACGCUGAGGCGCGAAAGCGUGGGGAGCAA